Molecule: ribosomal RNA, 520 nt
Filed under: uncultured Glomus
Lineage: Eukaryota; Fungi; Glomeromycota; Glomeromycetes; Glomerales; Glomeraceae
Description: SSU rRNA
Rfam family: Eukaryotic small subunit ribosomal RNA
Source: RNAcentral
AGCAGCCGCGGUAAUUCCAGCUCCAAUAGCGUAUAUUAAAGUUGUUGCAGUUAAAAAGCUCGUAGUUGAAUUUCGGGAUCAGUUGGUCGGUCGUGCCUCGGUACGUACUGGUCAAAUUGAUUCCUACCUUCUGACGAACCACGAUGUCAUUAAUUUGGUGUCGCGGGAAAUCAGGACUGUUACUUUGAAAAAUUAGAGUGUUUAAAGCAGGCUCGCGCUUGAAUACAUUAGCAUGGAAUAAUGAAAUAGGACGUUUGAUUCUAUUUUGUUGGUUUCUAGGAUCGACGUAAUGAUUAAUAGGGAUAGUUGGGGGCAUUAGUAUUCAAUUGUCAGAGGUGAAAUUCUUGGAUUUAUUGAAGACUAACUACUGCGAAAGCAUUUGCCAAGGAUGUUUUCAUUAAUCAAGAACGAAAGUUAGGGGAUCGAAGACGAUCAGAUACCGUCGUAGUCUUAACCAUAAACUAUGCCGACUAGGGAUCGGAUGAUGUUAAUUUUUAAUGACUCAUUCGGCGCCUUAUAC